RNAcentral lists this ribosomal RNA (1373 nucleotides) under uncultured bacterium. RNAcentral's name for it is "bacterial SSU rRNA". It matches the Rfam family "Bacterial small subunit ribosomal RNA", at positions 28 to 1381 of the family's 1533-position model. The record is from RNAcentral.
GAUGAACGCUGGCGGCGUGCCUAAUACAUGCAAGUCGAGCGAACGGACGAGAAGCUUGCUUCUCUGAUGUUAGCGGCGGACGGGUGAGUAACACGUGGAUAACCUACCUAUAAGACUGGGAUAACUUCGGGAAACCGGAGCUAAUAUCGGAUAAUAUUUUGAACCGCAUGGUUCAAAAGUGAAAGACGGUCUUGCUGUCACUUAUAGAUGGAUCCGCGCUGCAUUAGCUAGUUGGUAAGGUAACGGCUUACCAAGGCAACGAUGCAUAGCCGACCUGAGAGGGUGAUCGGCCACACUGGAACUGAGACACGGUCCAGACUCCUACGGGAGGCAGCAGUAGGGAAUCUUCCGCAAUGGGCGAAAGCCUGACGGAGCAACGCCGCGUGAGUGAUGAAGGUCUUCGGAUCGUAAAACUCUGUUAUUAGGGAAGAACAUAUGUGUAAGUAACUGUGCACAUCUUGACGGUACCUAAUCAGAAAGCCACGGCUAACUACGUGCCAGCAGCCGCGGUAAUACGUAGGUGGCAAGCGUUAUCCGGAAUUAUUGGGCGUAAAGCGCGCGUAGGCGGUUUUUUAGUCUGAUGUGAAAGCCCACGGCUCAACCGUGGAGGGUCAUUGGAAACUGGAAAACUUGAGUGCAGAAGAGGAAAGUGGAAUUCCAUGUGUAGCGGUGAAAUGCGCAGAGAUAUGGAGGAACACCAGUGGCGAAGGCGACUUUCUGGUCUGUAACUGACGCUGAUGUGCGAAAGCGUGGGGAUCAAACAGGAUUAGAUACCCUGGUAGUCCACGCCGUAAACGAUGAGUGCUAAGUGUUAGGGGGUUUCCGCCCCUUAGUGCUGCAGCUAACGCAUUAAGCACUCCGCCUGGGGAGUACGACCGCAAGGUUGAAACUCAAAGGAAUUGACGGGGACCCGCACAAGCGGUGGAGCAUGUGGUUUAAUUCGAAGCAACGCGAAGAGCCUUACCAAAUCUUGACAUCCUUUGACAACUCUAGAGAUAGAGCCUUCCCCUUCGGGGGGGGCAAAGUGACAGGUGGUGCAUGGUUGUCGUCAGCUCGUGUCGUGAGAUGUUGGGUUAAGUCCCGCAACGAGCGCAACCCUUAAGCUUAGUUGCCAUCAUUAAGUUGGGCACUCUAAGUUGACUGCCGGUGACAAACCGGAGGAAGGUGGGGAUGACGUCAAAUCAUCAUGCCCCUUAUGAUUUGGGCUACACACGUGCUACAAUGGACAAUACAAAGGGCAGCGAAACCGCGAGGUCAAGCAAAUCCCAUAAAGUUGUUCUCAGUUCGGAUUGUGGUCUGCAACUCGACUACAUGAAGCUGGAAUCGCUAGUAAUCGUAGAUCAGCAUGCUACGGUGAAUACGUUCCCGGGUCU